CGGACGGGUGAGUAACGCGUGAGAAUCUGCCCUCAGGAGGGGGAUAACGGUUGGAAACGACCGCUAAUACCCCAUAUGCCUAUUGGUGAAAUGAAUUUCGCCUGAGGAUGAGCUCGCGUCUGAUUAGCUAGUUGGUGAGGUAAUGGCUCACCAAGGCUUCGAUCAGUAGCUGGUCUGAGAGGAUGAUCAGCCACACUGGGACUGAGACACGGCCCAGACUCCUAUGGGAGGCAGCAGUGGGGAAUUUUCCGCAAUGGGCGAAAGCCUGACGGAGCAACGCCGCGUGAGGGACGAAGGCCUCUGGGCUGUAAACCUCUUUUCUCAAGGAAGAAGAUAUGACGGUACUUGAGGAAUAAGCCACGGCUAAUUCCGUGCCAGCAGCCGCGGUAAUACGGGAGUGGCAAGCGUUAUCCGGAAUUAUUGGGCGUAAAGCGUCCGCAGGCGGCUUAUCAAGUCUGCUGUUAAAACGUGGAGCUUAACUCCAUCAUGGCAGUGGAAACUGAUAGGCUUGAGUAUGGUAGGGGCAGAGGGAAUUCCCGGUGUAGCGGUGAAAUGCGUAGAUAUCGGGAAGAACACCAGUGGCGAAGGCGCUCUGCUGGGCCAUUACUGACGCUCAUGGACGAAAGCCAGGGGAGCGAAUGGGAUUAGAUACCCCAGUAGUC
RNAcentral lists this ribosomal RNA (662 nucleotides) under uncultured marine microorganism. Its description in RNAcentral is "bacterial SSU rRNA". It matches the Rfam family "Bacterial small subunit ribosomal RNA", at positions 99 to 795 of the family's 1533-position model. The record is from RNAcentral.